GAUGAACGCUGGCGGCGUGCCUAAUACAUGCAAGUCGAGCGAACGGACGAGAAGCUUGCUUCUCUGAUGUUAGCGGCGGACGGGUGAGUAACACGUGGAUAACCUACCUAUAAGACUGGGAUAACUUCGGGAAACCGGAGCUAAUACCGGAUAAUAUUUUGAACCGCAUGGUUCAAAAGUGAAAGACGGCCUUGCUGUCACUUAUAGAUGGAUCCGCGCUGCAUUAGCUAGUUGGUAAGGUAACGGCUUACCAAGGCAACGAUGCGUAGCCGACCUGAGAGGGUGAUCGGCCACACUGGAACUGAGACACGGUCCAGACUCCUACGGGAGGCAGCAGUAGGGAAUCUUCCGCAAUGGGCGAAAGCCUGACGGAGCAACGCCGCGUGAGUGAUGAAGGUCUUCGGAUCGUAAAACUCUGUUAUUAGGGAAGAACAUAUGUGUAAGUAACUGUGCACAUCUUGACGGUACCUAAUCAGAAAGCCACGGCUAACUACGUGCCAGCAGCCGCGGUAAUACGUAGGUGGCAAGCGUUAUCCGGAAUUAUUGGGCGUAAAGCGCGCGUAGGCGGUUUUUUAAGUCUGAUGUGAAAGCCCACGGCUCAACCGUGGAGGGUCAUUGGAAACUGGAAAACUUGAGUGCAGAAGAGGAAAGUGGAAUUCCAUGUGUAGCGGUGAAAUGCGCAGAGAUAUGGAGGAACACCAGUGGCGAAGGCGACUUUCUGGUCUGUAACUGACGCUGAUGUGCGAAAGCGUGGGGAUCAAACAGGAUUAGAUACCCUGGUAGUCCACGCCGUAAACGAUGAGUGCUAAGUGUUAGGGGGUUUCCGCCCCUUAGUGCUGCAGCUAACGCAUUAAGCACUCCGCCUGGGGAGUACGACCGCAAGGUUGAAACUCAAAGGAAUUGACGGGGACCCGCACAAGCGGUGGAGCAUGUGGUUUAAUUCGAAGCAGCGCGAAGAACCUUACCAAAUCUUGACAUCCUUUGACAACUCUAGAGAUAGAGCCUUCCCCUUCGGGGGACAAAGUGACAGGUGGUGCAUGGUUGUCGUCAGCUCGUGUCGUGAGAUGUUGGGUUAAGUCCCGCAACGAGCGCAACCCUUAAACUUAGUUGCCAUCAUUAAGUUGGGCACUCUAAGUUGACUGCCGGUGACAAACCGGAGGAAGGUGGGGAUGACGUCAAAUCAUCAUGCCCCUUAUGAUUUGGGCUACACACGUGCUACAAUGGACAAUACAAAGGGCAGCGAAACCGCGAGGUCAAGCAAAUCCCAUAAAGUUGUUCUCAGUUCGGAUUGUAGUCUGCAACUCGACUACAUGAAGCUGGAAUCGCUAGUAAUCGUAGAUCAGCAUGCUACGGUGAAUACGUUCCCGGGUCU
RNAcentral lists this ribosomal RNA (1372 nucleotides) under uncultured bacterium. RNAcentral describes it as "bacterial SSU rRNA". It matches the Rfam family "Bacterial small subunit ribosomal RNA", at positions 28 to 1381 of the family's 1533-position model. The record is from RNAcentral.